This 62-nucleotide transfer RNA is filed under the name Garicola koreensis. RNAcentral's name for it is "tRNA-Leu". Lineage: Bacteria; Bacillati; Actinomycetota; Actinomycetes; Micrococcales; Micrococcaceae. The record is from RNAcentral.
UCGGUCGCCGGGAGCCGGAUGCAUCCAAAAUGAAUAGGCCGCCGGUUCGAUUCCGGCAGGCG